CGGGCGCGGAGAGGCCUGGGCUCCGCAUCCCUCCUCGGACUGGCCCCUGGUCUCCGGCGGCCGAGCCAUGGCCUGGACGGCGGCGGCGGCGAGCGGCGGGGCCCGCGGUACGCUCUCGGCGCACACGCUCCUGUUCGACCUCCCGCCGGCGCUGCUGGGCGAGCUGUGCGCGGUCCUGGACAGCUGCGACGGCGCGCUGGGCUGGCGCGGCCUCGCGGAGCGACUUUCAAACAGCUGGCUGGAUGUUCGUCACAUCGAAAAAUAUGUUGACCAAGGUAAAAGUGGAACAAGAGAACUACUCUGGUCCUGGGCACAGAAAAACAAGACCAUCGGUGACUUGUUACAGAUCCUCCAGGAGAUGGGGCAUCAUCGAGCUAUCCAUUUAAUUGUGAAUCAUGGAGCACCCUUGAAGAGUCAGAGUCAUCAUGGAGAUAGAUUUCCAAACAUGUUACCCAAGGAAAUAGCCAAUGUCACAGUGGAUAAUGUUCUUAUUCCUGAACAUAAUGAAAAAGGAAUAUUGUUGAAAUCCUCCGUCAGCUUUCAAAACAUCAGAGAGGGAACCAAAAAUUUCCACAAAGACUUCCUAAUUGGAGAAGGGGAGAUUUUUGAGGUAUACAGAGCGGAGAUCCAAAACCGAACAUAUGCCAUUAAAUUAUUUAAACAGGAGAAAAAAAUGCUAUGUAAGAAACAAUGGAAGCAGUUUUUAUCUGAGCUUGAAGUUUUACUACUGUUCCAUCAUCCAAACAUACUGGAGUUGACUGCGUAUUUUACAGAGAGUGAGAAGUUCUGCCUUGUUUAUCCAUAUAUGAGAAAUGGAUCACUUUUUGACAGAUUGCAGUGUGUAGGUAACACAGCCCCACUGUCUUGGCACAUUCGGAUCAGUGUUUUAAUAGGAACCUCCAGAGCCAUUCAGUAUUUGCACAACACGGAGCCGUGCUCGGUCAUCUGUGGCAGUGUAUCAAGUGUGAACAUACUUUUGGAUGAUCGGUUUGAACCCAAACUGACGGACUUUGGCAUGGCGCACUUCCGACCCCACCCGGAACAUCAGAGCUCUACCAUAAGCAUGGCUAGCAGCAGCACUAAACAUCUGUGGUAUAUGCCUGAAGAGUAUAUCAGACAGGGCAAACUUUCCAUUAAAACGGACGUCUAUAGCUUUGGAAUUGUAAUCAUGGAAGUUCUGACAGGUUGUAAAGUGGUGUUAGAUGAUCCAAAGCAUAUCCAGCUGAGGGAUCUCCUUAUGGAGUUGAUGGAGAAGAGAGGACUCGAUUCAUGCCUUUCGUUUCUAGAUAAGAAAGUGCAUCCCUGUCCUCGGAAUUUUUCUGCCAAGCUAUUCUCUUUGGCGGGCCAGUGUGCUACCACGCGGGCAAAGUUAAGGCCAUCAAUGGAUGAAGUCCUAACUACUCUUGAAAGUACUCAAGCCUGCUUAUAUUUUGCUGAGGACCCUCCCACUUCACUAAAGUCCUUCAGGUGCCCUUCUCCUCUAUUCUUGGAUAACGUACCAAGUAUUCCAGUGGAAGAUGAUGAAAACCAGAAUAAUCAUUCACACCCUCAUGAUCAAGGUUUGAGAAAAGAUGGAGUGACUCCGAAAGUUCCAUUUGAAUGCAGUCAGUCUGAGGUUACAUUUCUGGGCUUUCACAGAAAGACAGGGGGUGAGAGAAAAGAGGAUGCAUGCAACACGCCCAGUUCUUCUUGUAAAGAAAGUUGGUCUGCAAAGCAUUCAGCUCUAUCGCAGGACUCAGGGGCCUGUGGUGCAGAUCUGGACCCUUCUGCAGAAGCUCCAGACCCUUCUUACAGGAGCAGGCCAGUGGAGACUAGCUGUUCCUCUGAAUCUUCCUGGAACGAAUGUGAGCAGUACAAAAAGGAAUCGAUUUCACCAGAAGAUAAAGAAGAAAGCAAGUAUUGCUAAGGCCUCUGAGUACAGCAUCGUUUGUCCUUGUUUCAAUGGCCAUUUGAGUGACCCAAGUAGCAUCCCUGCAUCACAGAUCUCAUCAAUCACAGUGAAACUACACCUCUACUUUACCUCAGCCACUAUUUCCAAGGCCACACCCUCUGGACUCCAUUCUUACCUGAAGCUGCUACACAUCAGAAAUCACAAUAUGCUAUCCUGGACUUUAUAAAGACAUCCUGUUAUCUGAUCUCCCCAUUUUUUUUUUCCUGGCCUGUCAAUGACCAUCCUUUUCCUCCCCAUCUACUCCAUGGUUUCUUUGCAGAGGUUGGGCCAUGGGUUCAUCUGUAUCAGUAUUUGUCCUUACGGUAAACGAGAACCCCUGCUAGUUAUUUCAAACAGAUGGAAUUUAAUAUUGGCAGUUGGUUAUCAAAGACUUGGAAAGGCCAGAAGAGGAAAAAAAAAAAAAAAAAAGAAAAGGAAAAUGUGUAGCUAUCCAGAGAUUAAGAACUACAGGAAGCCAUUUUCACUGUUGUGCAUGAAGGAGAAAAAAAGAGAAGAGGUGUAACUAAGAGCCAUGACCACUGUUCUGCUGAGGCCACAGAGAGCUUGCUCCUGAUGCGUGCAAUGCUGAUGCAUUUCCAUGGAGGAAAGCGGGAACGUGGACGAACCACCACCUGUGCAGCUCCUAUGUUACUGCCAGGGGCCCAAUAAGAAGCAGAGAAAGAAAAGGCUCCUCUAGUUCUUCCGGGUUCUAUAAUGAGGAGUCAGCUGUCAAGGGCAUCCAGGAGAUGCAGUUUUCUUUAAACUACAAAGGAAAGCACAGAAGGGCAAGAACAGACAAAUCCUACCCUGUGGCUAUUCAGCAUUUAUUCUCGCCUUUCUACCUUCUGUUUCAAUUUCCGGUAACAAUAAUAUCAUGCAAAUAUUCGUCAAAUAAUCGAAGGUGCUGUCACUCUUUCAAAAGACGUACAGGCUCUCAUCAGUCAUUAUAUCUGUCUCCAGGUGAUUUUAAUAUAUCUUCUGCCUAAAUUUUCUAAAAAUAGAGGUAAUCAUCUCCAACAAUUCUUAUACAAUAUAGGAGAAAAGAGAGGGAAAGUAAGUAAGUGGUGAAUAGACGCAAAUACACACAAAACAAAGGAAGCCUGCGCGGCUGCUAUUGUCUUUGUUUCUGUGAUUUGUCACCAGGAUGCAAUUUCACUCUCCUUCCAUGCUCCCUUGGCCUCGGCCGGCACUUUGGGUCUCUCGGUUUCCUACCCUGAUGGUGUGCGCCAAACCUUCACUGCUAAAGGGUGUGAGCCCUCCCUCAGUGGUCUUUAUUGGUGCUGGAAUUGACAUUAACUUUCAUCGCUGGAGAUGGAACUGUUGGCUUGCAUGAUUGGACAGUUUGAUGAAAUUACUUUCUCUAUCCACAAAAUUGUUGAUAAAAAGUAUUCUACAGGAUAAAGUCAACUUCAGAACCAUGCAGCACUUCACCAAGUAUCCUCCUUCAGGUUAAUGUCUUUCCAGUAAUUAAAACAUCUUUAGGAAAAAAUCCAGUCAACUCUGACUUUAUCUCACUUUUGCAACAUGUUUCUCUAUCUUGACUACAAGAUAUGAUCCAAGAUCCUUUAAAUAGCAUAAAAUGACCUUCAUAAGCUGGUCCCAAACGAUCUUUCUAGUAUUAAAUCCCAUCACUACCUCUUUCUUGUUCCUUUCCAUUGAUUUUGUAUUUUUUGUUCUAGUCCCAGUAAAUUUGUUAUGAUUCCUAAAGCAUACCAUGUCCCUUCUCAUUUCCAUGCCUUAGCCCUUAGCACAUGCUGUUCCAACUAUCUGGAAUGCUUGCCUCUCCUCACCCCACCUUCAGCUAGGUAUAUCCUUAUACACCAUUCAUGAGCUAUCAUAAAUAUUACUUCCUCCAUGAAUCCUUCUCAAACUUCCCUGAUAUAAUCAUCUCCUCUGUUCUCUCUCAGUAAUUUAGAUUUAUAAACUUUUGCAUUUUGCUUAUUGUUUGUAAUCAUUAUCAUAUUGUUUAUGUCUCUUUUCGGAGUUAAGACUGUGACCUCCUACAGGGUAUGAAAUUAGAUACUCACCGAUGUCUAUUAAACAAAUGAAACACUUAACAAAAUAUUUUUUCCAUUACUUUUUGGAGUUUAAAGAAAGCAAUUCACACCCAAUAGGAGUGACUGAUACUCCAGACUGGCUUCCACCAGAGUGGCACUGACCUUGGUGAAUAUUGGGGAAUCCAUCUUAGCCCUGCCAUCUCAGAGGCUAGAAUUCUUCAGUCUCCUUGGAAUGGACUUAUCUCUCAAUGGCAGAUCUGAAGUGAUCAAGUUCAUAGAGGUUGAUAAAAAUCAGCAUACUGAUUUUCUACUUUAUAAGAAAAGCCUAACUGUCCAGAGAAUUGAAUUCUCACGUCAACAUAUUAGUGUAUUAUCUCCUUAUAGGCAAGCUAUAUAUGAAGCAGUAUAAUAUGGUACAGGGGGAUUGAUUGAUUUUAAGUAUUUCUUGGUGAAGGAAGCUUGAGACCAUCUCAUGCACUAGGGAAACAGUGCCUUCAAGGACACUAUGAUGUUUGAGGUUGCCUAGCCAAGGCUGCCACUCCCUGGGCAGGGCCUGGGGGAUCACCUUCAGCUUGGCAGCUCGCCAUCCAUUUCUUGUGUAGCUACGGUCAACCAACAUGUCUUUGCCCAAACAGAACCUAAAGAAAUGUCACUGAAUGCCUGGUGACUAAGUUACAUUUGUGUUUGAGUUCCCAUUCUUCCCAUUUAUAUAUUCAUGGAUAUUCUCCUGGUUUGUUCCUGUUCAUAUUUACUGUGUGUGGAUCUAACUAAUUUAACUUCAAGCACAACUGUAUUGUUGACUCAUUGUCAACUCUAAUGACAAGACCUAAAAGGGUUGAGUAAUGAAUCAAGGUCUUGCAGUCUGUCAAUGGACAAGGCAAAAAUUCAACCUUGAUCUUACUGCUUUAAUCUGGUAUGCUUUUCACUGGUAUGCUUCUCUAAGUGGAAAUACCUAAUAAUUGUACAAGCAGAUGAGUUCUUAACCUUUUCUUCCUGAUUAAAGGUAUUUUUCUUUAAAA
This is an RNA transcript of Lynx canadensis (Canada lynx), 4946 nucleotides long. It is a transcript of the gene named interleukin 1 receptor associated kinase 3, with no coding region annotated. The transcript is spliced from 14 exons. NCBI's taxonomy places the organism in Eukaryota, Metazoa, Chordata, Mammalia, Carnivora, Felidae. The record is from RefSeq and is a predicted model, not a curated record.